GGUAGUUUUCCAGUGACGGACCCUGGAAUUGGGCUCCCUCCUCUCUGGUUCCUGGGGUGUCACCUGAUACCGCA
Molecule: non-coding RNA, 74 nt
Organism: Myotis brandtii (Brandt's bat)
Lineage: Eukaryota; Metazoa; Chordata; Mammalia; Chiroptera; Vespertilionidae
Source: Rfam